This 635-nucleotide long non-coding RNA is filed under the name Physcomitrium patens. RNAcentral's name for it is "long non-coding RNA (PPAT_LNC005301)". The record is from RNAcentral. Lineage: Eukaryota; Viridiplantae; Streptophyta; Bryopsida; Funariales; Funariaceae.
GCUUCUUUUACUUGCAUUGUCAUAUAACAUAUAUUCUUGCUUGAAAAUGCAUUGGGUAGUUAAAUCUAGAAGGUAAGUAAAAAUAUAAUAACAAUCCUACUAAGUCAAAUAGAAUCUUGAAUAAACUUUAAAUAAACCUUAAUAAUCAUAAUUAAACUUUAAGUAAUUCAAAAUAAAUUUAAUUGAAGUUACAAAGAAACACAAAGAAAUCCUAAAUUAACCUCAAUAAAAAAUAAUAAGAAAUCUUAAAGAAAUAUAAAUAUAAAUCUUUAAAUAAAUAAUAAUAAUUUUAAAAAAAUAUUAUAAAUAAAAAAUUUAAAAAUAAUAAAAAUCUUUAAAAUACUCAAAAUAAUUUUAAAUCCUAAUCAAAUAAUUUUAAAUAAAAUCUUAAUAAACCUUAAUCAAAUCCUUAGUCAAAUCUUAAUUAAAAUCAUAAUUGAAUAUUAAUUAAAUAUUAGAUCAAAUCUUAAUAAAAUUCUAAUAAAAAUUCUAAAUCCUAAACUAAUUUUAAUGAAUCCUAAUCAAAUCCUAAUUAAAUUCUAAUCAAAUCCAAAUAAAAUCCUAAAUCCUAAUUAAAUCCUAAAUCCUAAAUCAAUUCUAAUGAAUCUUUAAUCAAAUCCUAAAUCCUAAAUCAA